ACAAAGCAACCACAAAAAGGUGAAAAAGGAUAGUAAUAGUAAAAAAUCUUUAAAAAAGGGUGAGUAAACCAAAGUUAAUCUUUUUUUGCAAGCUUGAAUCUAAACCAUCUCAAAAGAUCAACCAAGAACAAGCAAUCAUUUUUAAUAAUAAAAAAAAAAGGAACAAAAAGUUAAAAAGUUUAAGUUAAAAUCAUUACCCACAAAAUAUGAA
RNAcentral lists this long non-coding RNA (211 nucleotides) under Lathyrus oleraceus (garden pea). Its description in RNAcentral is "Pisum sativum (pea) long non-coding RNA (PSAT_LNC028801)". The record is from RNAcentral. Lineage: Eukaryota; Viridiplantae; Streptophyta; Magnoliopsida; Fabales; Fabaceae.